RNAcentral lists this ribosomal RNA (119 nucleotides) under Triticum aestivum (bread wheat). The record is from RNAcentral. Lineage: Eukaryota; Viridiplantae; Streptophyta; Magnoliopsida; Poales; Poaceae. RNAcentral also lists the same sequence under 1 other name.
GGAUGCGAUCAUACCAGCACUAAAGCACCGGAUCCCAUCAGAACUCCGAACCUAAGCGUGCUUGGGCGAGAGUAGUACUAGGAUGGGUGACCUCCUGGGAAGUCCUCGUGUUGCAUUCC